This 1359-nucleotide long non-coding RNA is filed under the name Phasianus colchicus (ring-necked pheasant). Its description in RNAcentral is "lncRNA (ENSPCLG00000017625.1)". Lineage: Eukaryota; Metazoa; Chordata; Aves; Galliformes; Phasianidae. The record is from RNAcentral.
CUAUGGGGCACAGCUCAGCACCACCCAAUGACGUCAGCCCCUCCCAAUGACGUCACCACCCAAUGACGUCACCCCGCGCCAUGACGUCACAGCGGCACUUCCGUUUAUUACAAGCGAUCGUUUGGCCCCAAAUCCGCCCCUCCCCCCCACACCUCCGCCCCACAGCGCCGCCGCAGCCAUUCAGUGGGGCAGGACACCACUUGUGGGGCAGAGACUCACUUAUGGGGCAGAUCCCACUUAUGGGGCAGAGACUCACUUGUGGGUCACUGUCACACUUAUGGGUCACUGUCACACUUAUGGGUCGCAGCUCCACUUGUGGGUCGCAGCUCCACUUGUGGGUCAGUCCGUGGGUCCGUCCGUGUCUUCCUUUAUGGGCCCACAUCCACUUGUGGGGCAGCGCUAUGGGGCAGAGCUUCACUUAUGGGGCACGGUCCCACUUGUGGGGCAGACCCCCACUUAUGGGGCAGGGCUCAACUUAUGGGUCAGUCCGUGUGGGUCGCGGCCCCACUUAUGGGUCGCAGCUCCACUUGUGGGUCGGAUCCCAGUUGUGGGGCAGAGCCGCACUUAUGGGACAGAGCUCCACUUGUGGGGCAGGGCUCAACUUAUGGGUCGCAGCUCCACUUGUGGGUCAGUGCGUGGGUCCAUCCAUGUCCUCCCGUGGGUCCACAUCCACUUGUGGGGCAGAGCUAUGGGGCAGAGCUUCACUUGUGGGUCAGAGCUCCACUUGUGGGUCAGAGCUCCACUUAUGGGUCAGUCCGUGGGUCCGUCCGUGUUUUCAUUUCUGGGCCCACAUCCACUUGUGGGGCAGAGCCACGGAGUGCAGCUAUGGGGCAGCGCUAUGGGGCAGGGUCCCACUUGUGGGGCAGGGCUUCACUUAUGGGUCAGAGCUUCACGUACUUCUGGGGCAGCGCCCCACUUAGGGGUCACGGUCCCACUUAUGGGUCAGUCUGUAUGGGGUGGCGCUGUGGGGCAGAGCCAUGGAGGGUCGCUAUGGGGCAGAGCCCCACUUAUGGGGCAGAGCGUCACUUAUGGGUCUGAGCCCCACUUGUGGGUCAGUCUUUGUGGGUUAAUGCCCUACUUAUGGGUCAGAUCCCACUUAUGGGUCACAGCCCCACUUGUGGGUCAGGGCCCCACUUAUGGGUCACAGCCCCACUUAUGGGGCAGAGCUCCACUUGUGGGUCACACCUCCAUUUAUGGGUCACAGCCCCUGUGACCUAUGGGGCAAAGGCUGACCUAUGGGGCAGAGACGCAGCUAUGGGGCAGAGAUCCUCAUCUAUGGGGCGGAGACCCAUCUAUGGGGCAGAGACCCUCAUCUAUGGGGCAGAGAUCCUCAUCUAUGGGGUGGAGGCUCUGACCUGC